CUUUAAUGAAGAGCAUGCAGAUUUUUAUUAUCUUUUUUUUUUUCUUUUUUUCAUUUUUUUGCCUUACAUUUUAUAUAACAUUUUCCUAAAGAAAUAACGGACUUUAUCUUGCUAAUUAGGCCAUAAAACUACUCUUUGGACCAAUGAAAUUAUGAGAAAAGAUCAAAGGUUUAUUAGGCCCAAUACGGUCCAAAAGUUACAAAAUUAAAUAAUACCAUUUAAAACUAUUCAAACAAUUUAAAACGUAAUUAAUACGUCUAAAAGUCUCAAACCUCAAAACGUAAAGAGAGAAACAUGGUGGUGUUUCUUCAACCUUUUCCCAUUUCCAUUACUGUAAUCGGGCCUGAUGUCAAGGAUGGCACCACCAUUGUAUUCGAGCUAGCAACCUACCGAGCAUAUAUCGGUGCAUCUCUUUACCUUCGUUGACCACUGAAGCUUUUCCACAAGAUUAUGGCAACUCCACCAUUCGUCGCAACUCCUCCUUAGCCGAAAUCACCUCUGGCCGGACCAGCUUCACCAACUUUUAAGAAGCACAGAGACCGACCUCAUGGUUCUAGUAAGAAGCAACUUUACCAAUUUUGUGAAUUACUAGAUAUGUAUUAGAUAUAACUUUGAUUCUCCGCGUAGGAAAUGUUUGAGAAAAUGACACAAAGGAGUUUUAUGUUUGGUUAGUGAUGAUAUCUGGAUAUUUUAAGAAGGGUGAUAUCAACACAAGAGGGAUUUAUAAUUGGAUGAGUUCGGGGAACUUGAUUAUUUGGAAUUCGUAGAUUAUUGGAUGUAUGCUAAGGUUUGAGAGAUUAAGGUUUCUAUAUAUUUUUGUUUCCUCAUUUUAUAAUCUGGAUUUUUUUGUCAAUGGUGUAGAGGAAGAGGUUAAGAUCUAUGAGCUCAAGAAAGAUGAUUUCUCCGUAAAAUUGACCAUUUUUUGUGCUAGAAUCAUAUACGUUAUUCUUCUCAACGGUAAUCGAUAAUUUUUUUUGGACACUUUUUUUGAGUGUUUG
RNAcentral lists this long non-coding RNA (998 nucleotides) under Olea europaea subsp. europaea. Lineage: Eukaryota; Viridiplantae; Streptophyta; Magnoliopsida; Lamiales; Oleaceae. The record is from RNAcentral.